UCUACGGCUCUGCCAAAUAGACUAUAGACUAUCUUAAUAAUAGUGCCUACAACCUAAUAGCCUUUUGUUGAGAUAAGUCUUCGUGCUCUCCCAGAAAAAGGCUUUUGUUGAGAUAGCCUUUUGUUGAAUAAAUUAAUAAUAGCACUCUGCCAAAAAGAAGCUCUGCUUCGUGCUUUCCAGUUUUGAGUCAAUUGUUUCGUGUUGCCAGAAAAAGGCUCCGCCUGCAACCCGCCUGCAACCCCCAUCUCCGGCGAAAUCGUCGCAGGCGUGUCGCCUCCGACCCUCGCCUCUCACCCCCUUUCUACUUCCCUCUCUUUCUUUCAAUUCUCUCUCACGCCAACGCCCUCUCUCUCCCUCUGUGUCUCCUCGUCGUAGCACAUGCAGCGGCUACCGCCUCCGCCUCCGCCUCCGCCACUUCUCCGUCCCGGCGUCGGCUCCUUCUCCUCCUGCCUUGACUCAAAACACCAAAACCCCCAAAAUUUCUCCAAUUUCAGAAAACCCUUCUCCCUAAAUCAAAUUCCUAAUUUUCUCCUUCUACCCUCGCCGUGAACAGCACCGCCCCUCUUCUCUCGGCGAAUGGCGAGAAUCGCCGGCGCCUUCUCCUCUCCUUCCCACGGCCGCCGCCUUCUUCCAUCUUCUCUCUUUUCCCACCUGCCAACUCCCGCUCCCUUCCCCCAAUUUCUUGGCCAACUACCCAUGGCAGAAUCACAGCUGGGCCGACCUCCCUUCCCCCAAACAGAUGUAAAUGUGUCGGCGGUUCUGCACGAUAUGAUCUUUCGUGUAGUUAACCGGUUAAUUCGGUUAACCGAUUAAUUGGUCCGGUACCGGACCAAUUAAUCGGUUAACCGAACUGAAAACCGGUUCGGUUUCGGUUAUCAUUUUCAGUCUUAAUCGGUUCCGGUUAACCGGUAAAUCGGUUCGGUUUUAACCGAACCGACCGGUUUACCAGCCCUAAGUGUAAUUGUGACUAUAAUUAAAUAAUUUCUCAAAAUUUAAGUUAAUUGAAAAAUAAAUCAACUUCAAUUAAAUUAAAGUUGAUGCCAUAAAUUGUAACUAACCCUAUUUAUUAUUAUUAUUAUUAUUAUUUGUAAGCACUUCUCGUGGUCACAGCAUAUAUUUCAAUUAUGUAGGCAUAUUUUAUAUCUAGAAAUUAUUCUUGUGAUAGUCAAGUUUUGAAAAAGUUAUAGUCGACAACCGUCGUGAAGAGUGCAUUCUUGAAAUGAUGGUCUUCUAAUUCGGAUGAGUAAAGUGGAGAGUGGGAACCUUAGAUCAAAGAUAAAUUGGAGAAUUGUGAAAACAUGGAGUGGAAGUACAGUUCGUUAGGAGUUCAUGAGCAAAAAACGACAUUCAAAUCAGAGCUCAGGCGAGGGAGAACGAAGCCGAACAAGUCGACUGUGCAAUGAGACUCGCUAACGCGGCCGUGGAAAGAGGAAGACCCGCGGUCCCCACCCGCACCCGCGGGUAGGACGACGGCCAAUGUGCCAUUUGAUCGGUCCGAGCCGUGGCCACGGGCCCGACAAAUAGGUCUCCCCAUUCUUUCCCCACGGUCCUAUAUCACAACCACUACCGCGCCUGUGGGAAAAAGACGGAAUUGGCGAGAUUGUGGAUCGCAGACGAGAUUUUCAGCCUCUAUACCUCUUUAACCUUCAAUUUGAGAAAAAAAUUAAAAUAACACGUCAUUUUCUCAACAUUCAACUCACUCAACGCUGCACUCCAAACAACUAGCCUUCAUUAUUACAUCCAAUUUUUCAAUUUAUUAGUAUUAUUAUUCAA
Molecule: long non-coding RNA, 1773 nt
Organism: Salvia miltiorrhiza (redroot sage)
Lineage: Eukaryota; Viridiplantae; Streptophyta; Magnoliopsida; Lamiales; Lamiaceae
Exons: 2
Source: RefSeq, a predicted model, not a curated record